This 468-nucleotide ribosomal RNA is filed under the name uncultured bacterium. Its description in RNAcentral is "partial 16S ribosomal RNA". It matches the Rfam family "Bacterial small subunit ribosomal RNA", at positions 28 to 507 of the family's 1533-position model. The record is from RNAcentral.
GACGAACGCUGGCGGCGUGCUUAACACAUGCAAGUCGAACGGAAAGGCCCUGCUUGUGUGGGGUGCUCGAGUGGCGAACGGGUGAGUAACACGUGAGUAACCUGCCCUUGACUUGGGGAUAACUUCAGGAAACGGGGGCUAAUACCGGAUAGGAGCUCCUGCUGCAUGGAGGGGGUUGGAAAGUUUCGGCGGUUGGGGAUGGACUCGCGGCUUAGCAGCUUGUUGGGGGGGUAGUGGCUUACCAAGGCUUUGACGGGUAGCCGGCCUGAGAGGGUGACCGGCCACAUUGGGCCUGAGAUACGGCCCAGACUCCUACGGGAGGCAGCAGUGGGGAGUAUUGCACAAUGGGCGGAAGCCUGAUGCAGCAACGCCGCGUGCGGGAUGACGGCCUUCGGGUUGUAAACCGCUUUCGCCUGUGACGAAGCGUGAGUGACGGUACUGGGUAAAGAAGCACCGGCUAACUACGUG